Molecule: long non-coding RNA, 134 nt
Organism: Syngnathus acus (greater pipefish)
Lineage: Eukaryota; Metazoa; Chordata; Actinopteri; Syngnathiformes; Syngnathidae
Exons: 2
Source: RefSeq, a predicted model, not a curated record
GAGGGGGGGCUCUGAGGUCCCUGGGGAAAUAAAUCCUAGCACCGCCAGUGCACAUUGCAGCACAUCAUGUGCUUUGUUUUGGAUGUGAAUGCUUGAUUCCACGAGGCGCCUGCGUAAAAUGAAUUGAACAUGAG